UAACCUGCCUUGGAUGGGGAAUAACACAUCGAAAGAUGUGCUAAUACCGCAUAAUGCAGUUGGGCCGCAUGGCUCUGGCUGCCAAAGAUUUAUCGCUCUGAGAUGGACUCGCGUCUGAUUAGCUGGUUGGCGGGGUAACGGCCCACCAAGGCGACGAUCAGUAGCCGGACUGAGAGGUUGACCGGCCACAUUGGGACUGAGACACGGCCCAGACUCCUACGGGAGGCAGCAG
This 232-nucleotide ribosomal RNA is filed under the name uncultured bacterium. RNAcentral describes it as "partial 16S ribosomal RNA". It matches the Rfam family "Bacterial small subunit ribosomal RNA", at positions 122 to 354 of the family's 1533-position model. The record is from RNAcentral.